UACGGGGGGGGCAAGCGUUGUUCGGAAUUACUGGGCGUAAAGGGCUCGUAGGUGGCCAACUAAGUCAGACGUGAAAUCCCUCGGCUUAACCAGGGAACUGCGUCUGAUACUGGAUGGCUUGAGUUUGGGAGAGGGACGCGGAAUUCCAGGUGUAGCGGUGAAAUGCGCAGAUAUCAGGAGGAACACCCGUAGCGAAGGCGGCACUCUGGGCCGAUACUGACACUGAGGAGCGAAAGCGUGGGGAGCAAACAGG
This 253-nucleotide ribosomal RNA is filed under the name uncultured bacterium. RNAcentral describes it as "partial 16S ribosomal RNA". It matches the Rfam family "Bacterial small subunit ribosomal RNA", at positions 524 to 776 of the family's 1533-position model. The record is from RNAcentral.